Oncorhynchus keta (chum salmon) is the source of this 1535-nucleotide long non-coding RNA. RefSeq lists it as uncharacterized. The record is from RefSeq and is a predicted model, not a curated record. The transcript has 4 exons. NCBI's taxonomy places the organism in Eukaryota, Metazoa, Chordata, Actinopteri, Salmoniformes, Salmonidae.
UGAGUACUAUGUUGGCAUGUGUAUACUGUAUGUCCACGCUGCACUCUAGCUCUAGGUAAUGUUCCUGUAUGGCCUAGCGGGGUCCUGGGUUAUGUGAGUACUAUGUUGGCAUGUGUAUACUGUAUGUCCACGCUGCACUCUAGCUCUAGGUAAUGUUCCUGUAUGGCCUAGCGGGGUCCUGGGUUAUGUGAGUACUAUGUUGGCAUGUGUAUACUGUAUGUCCACGCUGCACUCUAGCUCUAGGUAAUGUUCCUGUAUGGCCUAGCGGGGUCCUGGGUUAUGUGAGUACUAUGUUGGCAUGUGUAUACUGUAUGUCCACGCUGCACUCUAGCUCUAGGUAAUGUUCCUGUAUGGCCUAGCGGGGUCCUGGGUUAUGUGAGUACUAUGUUGGCAUGUGUAUACUGUAUGUCCACGCUGCACUCUAGCUCUAGGUAAUGUUCCUGUAUGGCCUAGCGGGGUCCUGGGUUAUGUGAGUACUAUGUUGGCAUGUGUAUACUGUAUGUCCACGCUGCACUCUAGCUCUAGGUAAUGUUCCUGUAUGGCCUAGCGGGGUCCUGGGUUAUGUGAGUACUAUGUUGGCAUGUGUAUACUGUAUGUCCACGCUGCACUCUAGCUCUAGGUAAUGUUCCUGUAUGGCCUAGCGGGGUCCUGGGUUAUGUGAGUACUAUGUUGGUAUGUGUAUACUGUAUGUCCACGCUGCACUCUAGCUCUAGGUAAUGUUCCUGUGUGGCCUAGCGGGGUCCUGGGUUAUGUGAGUACUAUGUUGGCAUGUGUAUACUGUAUGUCCACGCUGCACUCUAGCUCUAGGUAAUGUUCCUGUAUGGCCUAGCGGGGUCCUGGGUUAUGUGAGUACUAUGUUGGCAUGUGUAUACUGUAUGUCCACGCUGCACUCUAGCUCUAGGUAAUGUUCCUGUAUGGCCUAGCGGGGUCCUGGGUUAUGUGAGUACUAUGUUGGCAUGUGUAUACUGUAUGUCCACGCUGCACUCUAGCUCUAGGUAAUGUUCCUGUAUGGCCUAGCGGGGUCCUGGGUUAUGUGAGUACUAUGUUGGCAUGUGUAUACUGUAUGUCCACGCUGCACUCUAGCUCUAGGUAAUGUUCCUGUAUGGCCUAGCGGGGUCCUGGGUUAUGUGAGUACUAUGUUGGCAUGUGUAUACUGUAUGUCCACGCUGCACUCUAGCUCUAGGUAAUGUUCCUGUAUGGCCUAGCGGGGUCCUGGGUUAUGUGAGUACUAUGUUGGCAUGUGUAUACUGUAUGUCCACGCUGCACUCUAGCUCUAGGUAAUGUUCCUGUAUGGCCUAGCGGGGUCCUGGGUUAUGUGAGUACUAUGUUGGCAUGUGUAUACUGUAUGUCCACGCUGCACUCUAGCUCUAGGUAAUGUUCCUGUAUGGCCUAGCGGGGUCCUGGGUUAUGUGAGUACUAUGUUGCCUCGUCUAUGCCCUGGUUUGUAUUUCACUAUAUAAGCCACCGGCUUCCCAUACUGACAGUUGAUGAUGUCAUGGAAACUACUCUUUGAGUACACUUAAACAUUUGAGAAU